Molecule: long non-coding RNA, 747 nt
Filed under: Homo sapiens (human)
Lineage: Eukaryota; Metazoa; Chordata; Mammalia; Primates; Hominidae
Description: novel transcript, antisense to PDE7B
Source: RNAcentral
CCCAUUUCCUCCUUGCUUCACCCCGUGAACACAACUGCUUCUCUUCAGCAGCCCCAAAUGGAAAUUAUUCAGUGUCUUAUGUGAAAUUGAAAAUAUUUUUAAAAAGACAAUUGCAAUGUUAGUGUAUUGUGGAUGAUACUCUACAAGAAAAGCCUGAGCAAUGUUGGAGUGUCACAGCCACAGAGGGGCACAUCAACCUGAUACAAGAGAAAUGGAGCGAGGAGAGGUUAAAUCACAGAAUUUGGAAAGAAAAAGGGCAUCCAACAGCCUUAAAGAUGAAGAAAUGGAAGCUCCAGAGUUGAAGAAAUGUGUCUUCACUCCCACAAGUAAUCUUGAAGUUCCGAGCCACCAUGAGAGUUUUCCUGACACUGAGGUAAUUUCCUACCAUGUUGACACCACCUUGCGCCAGUGUUCAAGACCAUCACAGCUAUGAACCUUGUUGGCUUGUAUCAGAUGCCUGCUGGGACCUUGGCUGCCCAUAGUGCUCUCUAAAGACUCCAGCUUUCCAUAACUCCUACAGUUUUAAGUUCAAGGAAUGAUGAAGAGGACGCCAAUGUACGGAUUUGAUUUACCAAAUCAGGCCUGUACAGCAGCUGAAUCAACCUAUGGGAAAAUUUUGGCUCUCUUUAACAUUCUAAUUUUUGAGAACACCAUUGCAAAUACAUGAUUUCCAAAAUAAUAACAAUGCACUUAAUUAAUCACAUUAUAGAUCAUCAUAUAAAAAUAAAUACCUAAAUAGAAAUACAA